This 910-nucleotide ribosomal RNA is filed under the name uncultured bacterium. Its description in RNAcentral is "bacterial SSU rRNA". It matches the Rfam family "Bacterial small subunit ribosomal RNA", at positions 33 to 926 of the family's 1533-position model. The record is from RNAcentral.
ACGCUGGCGGCGUGCCUAAUACAUGCAAGUAGAACGCUGAAGAGAGGAGCUUGCUCUUCUUGAAUGAGUUGCGAACGGGUGAGUAACGCGUAGGUAACCUGCCUUGUAGCGGGGGAUAACUAUUGGAAACGAUAGCUAAUACCGCAUAACAAUGGGUGACACAUGUCAUUUAUUUGAAAGGGGCAAUUGCUCCACUACAAGAUGGACCUGCGUUGUAUUAGCUAGUAGGUGAGGUAACGGCUCACCUAGGCGACGAUACAUAGCCGACCUGAGAGGGUGAUCGGCCACACUGGGACUGAGACACGGCCCAGACUCCUACGGGAGGCAGCAGUAGGGAAUCUUCGGCAAUGGGGGCAACCCUGACCGAGCAACGCCGCGUGAGUGAAGAAGGUUUUCGGAUCGUAAAGCUCUGUUGUAAGUCAAGAACGAGUGUGAGAGUGGAAAGUUCACACUGUGACGGUAGCUUACCAGAAAGGGACGGCUAACUACGUGCCAGCAGCCGCGGUAAUACGUAGGUCCCGAGCGUUGUCCGGAUUUAUUGGGCGUAAAGCGAGCGCAGGCGGUUUGAUAAGUCUGAAGUUAAAGGCUGUGGCUCAACCAUAGUUCGCUUUGGAAACUGUCAAACUUGAGUGCAGAAGGGGAGAGUGGAAUUCCAUGUGUAGCGGUGAAAUGCGUAGAUAUAUGGAGGAACACCGGUGGCGAAAGCGGCUCUCUGGUCUGUAACUGACGCUGAGGCUCGAAAGCGUGGGAGCGAACAGGAUUAGAUACCCUGGUAGUCCACGCCGUAAACGAUGAGUGCUAGGUGUUGGAUCCUUUCCGGGACUCAGUGCCGCAGCUAACGCAUUAAGCACUCCGCCUGGGGAGUACGACCGCAAGGUUGAAACUCAAAGGAAUUGACGGGGGCCCGCAC